GGGCGUGCUAUACAUGCAGUCGAGCGGACAGAUGGGAGCUUGCUCCCUGAUGUUAGCGGCGGACGGGUGAGUAACACGUGGGUAACCUGCCUGUAAGACUGGGAUAACUCCGGGAAACCGGGGCUAAUACCGGAUGGUUGUUUGAACCGCAUGGUUCAAACAUAAAAGGUGGCUUCGGCUACCACUUACAGAUGGACCCGCGGCGCAUUAGCUAGUUGGUGAGGUAACGGCUCACCAAGGCAACGAUGCGUAGCCGACCUGAGAGGGUGAUCGGCCACACUGGGACUGAGACACGGCCCAGACUCCUACGGGAGGCAGCAGUAGGGAAUCUUCCGCAAUGGACGAAAGUCUGACGGAGCAACGCCGCGUGAGUGAUGAAGGUUUUCGGAUCGUAAAGCUCUGUUGUUAGGGAAGAACAAGUACCGUUCGAAUAGGGCGGUACCUUGACGGUACCUAACCAGAAAGCCACGGCUAACUACGUGCCAGCAGCCGCGGUAAUACGUAGGUGGCAAGCGUUGUCCGGAAUUAUUGGGCGUAAAGGGCUCGCAGGCGGUUUCUUAAGUCUGAUGUGAAAGCCCCCGGCUCAACCGGGGAGGGUCAUUGGAAACUGGGGAACUUGAGUGCAGAAGAGGAGAGUGGAAUUCCACGUGUAGCGGUGAAAUGCGUAGAGAUGUGGAGGAACACCAGUGGCGAAGGCGACUCUCUGGUCUGUAACUGACGCUGAGGAGCGAAAGCGUGGGGAGCGAACAGGAUUAGAUACCCUGGUAGUCCACGCCGUAAACGAUGAGUGCUAAGUGUUAGGGGGUUUCCGCCCCUUAGUGCUGCAGCUAACGCAUUAAGC
This 841-nucleotide ribosomal RNA is filed under the name Bacillus subtilis. RNAcentral describes it as "bacterial SSU rRNA". It matches the Rfam family "Bacterial small subunit ribosomal RNA", at positions 40 to 865 of the family's 1533-position model. The record is from RNAcentral. Lineage: Bacteria; Bacillati; Bacillota; Bacilli; Caryophanales; Bacillaceae.